UAGUCCACGCCGUAAACGAUGAAUGCUAGACGUUGUGGGAUUUGACCCCUACAGUGUCGCAGCUAACGCAUUAAGCAUUCCGCCUGGGGAGUACGGUCGCAAGAUUAAAACUCAAAGGAAUUGACGGGGACCCGCACAAGCGGUGGAGCAUGUGGUUUAAUUCGACGCAACGCGCAAAACCUUACCUGGGUUUAAACUGCAGUAGACCAUCACAGAGAUGUGAUUUUCCUUCGGGACUGCUGUAGAGGUGCUGCAUGGCUGUCGUCAGCUCGUGUCGUGAGAUGUUGGGUUAAGUCCCGCAACGAGCGCAACCCUUGCCGAUAGUUGCCAGCAUUAAGUUGGGCACUCUAUUGGGACUGCCGGUGUUAAACCGGAGGAAGGUAAGGAUGACGUCAAGUCAGCAUGCCCCUUAGCUCCGGGCUACACACGUGCUACAAUGGUCGUGACAAAGAGUUGCUUAGUCUGCGAAGGCAAGCCAAUCUCAUAAACGCGCCUUAGUCGGA
This 503-nucleotide ribosomal RNA is filed under the name uncultured bacterium. RNAcentral's name for it is "bacterial SSU rRNA". It matches the Rfam family "Bacterial small subunit ribosomal RNA", at positions 791 to 1297 of the family's 1533-position model. The record is from RNAcentral.